Molecule: small nuclear RNA, 107 nt
Organism: Antechinus flavipes (yellow-footed antechinus)
Lineage: Eukaryota; Metazoa; Chordata; Mammalia; Dasyuromorphia; Dasyuridae
Source: RefSeq, a predicted model, not a curated record
GUACUUGCUUUGGCAACACAUAAACUAAAAAUUGGAAUGAUAGAGAAUAUUAGCAUGGCUUCUGUGUAAGGAUGACACACAAAUUCAUAAAGUAUACUUAUAUACAU